GGCGCCAAGCCACACGUCCCUAGCGAUGAAACCAACCGGACCACCCUUUUUGAAGCCGACGGUAUUCGACGGUUUUGGAACACGGGCGGGACACGCCAAAAAACGUUAUGGGAACACCGCCCACGGUUGGCGUGUCGUUCGUUAAUUUUUAAUAUUUUUUUGGCAAGGGGAACACCGGGGCGGGGGAACACGGCGGGGAGCGGGUAAUUUGAAAAUUUUUAAACUUUUUUAUGGGCAAAAAUUUAUAAUUAGUGAAAAAGUUAAGGGAAAAAAGUGUAAUUUGUCCUAUAUAUACUAUUAAAUUCCUAGGCUCGGUCAAUUUCUCCCAAAUCCAAUCGAGAUUCGACGAGCCCUAAUUUCUUAAAAAGGAAAUUAUAGUACAUAGUCCUUUAUUCAUUCAUUAAAAAGGAAAAAUGACCACACAAAGGGCGGAGACUUGGUGUUGGUUCAUAGCAAUCUCCGUCUUUUGUCAAGAAGAAGUCCACAAUAUUGUAGCGGGGAGAAUAAGAUGUGGGAUAUUGCGGGAGACCAAUUUGGCUCAAUUGAAGAUGUUGGUAUGCUUGAGGUUGCAAACCUCUCUCUUGAUGAACCCGAGUAGUUGGAGGUUGCAGUCUUUACGGACGAUGGAGACAUUGAGGGAAUCAAUAGCGAGGUUGAAGUGACGGAAAUUGGGUCUAGUUAAAAUUUGGCAACAUGGUCAUGGUGCUUAGUUAUUUAUUUUGACUUAUUAUUAUGCAACUAUGGAUAUUCUCUUUCAAUUGGGUUGUAAGUUGUAACUGUUAGAAUAAGAACAUAUAAUUUGUUAUCAAAGAAUAUAUAUUAUUAUAAUAUUAUAUAUAAUAUUAUAUGCUGUGUCCCCCGCCGCCGUCCGUGUCCAUUUUUUCAAAAAUGCGUUGUCCGUGUCCGUAUUGUGUCCGUGUCCGUGCACAUAGGUCCCUAGUAAUCCUGCCAUAGGUGAUGGGUAUUGCUUGGACGUCCCAUGGAUGAGGCACUGACCCAAGAGGUCCCUAGGCCAUGCUCUUGAUCUAAGCAAGUUGUGUAGCAUCAAGAUGCAAGUCUUCAAUUGAGCAGAGUCAAUGCGGCAGAGUGGUCCCCAAUGGCUGUGGGGCUCGUAGCCUUGGUGUUGGUGACGUGGCAGUCAAUUCAAUUGGGAUAUAUAUAUAUAUAUAGCUACAACGUUCUCAAGUGCCCUACUAAUUUGUCAUGCAACAUAUGGCCUCUUUUGAUCAACAAAAUGUGAAUCUAAACAAAAUUACAUAUAAUAUCGUAAUUCAUUUCACAAAGAUAUGCUACCUACAAAUUUGCGAUGUUCUAGAAGUACAAUACAGAUGUCAAAGCAUA
RNAcentral lists this long non-coding RNA (1341 nucleotides) under Actinidia chinensis (golden kiwifruit). Its description in RNAcentral is "long non-coding RNA (ACHI_LNC005145)". Lineage: Eukaryota; Viridiplantae; Streptophyta; Magnoliopsida; Ericales; Actinidiaceae. The record is from RNAcentral.